GACGAACGCUGGCGGCGUGCUUAACACAUGCAAGUCGAACGGUAAGGCCCUUCGGGUACGACGAGUGGCGAACGGGUGAGUAACACGUGGUGAUCUGCCCUGCACUUCGGGAGUAAGCCUGGGAAACUGGGUCUAAUACCGGAUAGGACCAUGGACUUCACGGUUUGUGGUGGAAAGCUUUUGCGGUGUGGGAUGGGCCCGCGGCCUAUCAGCUUGUUGGUGGGGUAAAUGGCCUACCCAAGGCGACGACGGGUAGCCGGCCUGAGAGGGUGUCCGGCCACACUGGGACUGAGAUACGGCCCAGACUCCUACGGGAGGCAGCAGUGGGGAAUAUUGCACAAUGGGCGCAAGCCUGAUGCAGCGACGCCGCGUUGAGGGAUGACGGCCUUCGGGUUGUAAACUCUUCAAUAGGACGAAGCGCAAGUAGACGGUACCUAUAGAAGAAGCACCGGCCAACUAACGUGCCAGCA
This 470-nucleotide ribosomal RNA is filed under the name uncultured bacterium. RNAcentral's name for it is "bacterial SSU rRNA". It matches the Rfam family "Bacterial small subunit ribosomal RNA", at positions 28 to 513 of the family's 1533-position model. The record is from RNAcentral.